ACGAACGCUGGCGGCGUGCCUAAUACAUGCACGUAGAACGCUGAAGCUUGGUGCUUGCACCGAGCGGAUGAGUUGCGAACGGGUGAGUAACGCGUAGGUAACCUGCCUGGUAGCGGGGGAUAACUAUUGGAAACGAUAGCUAAUACCGCAUAAGAGUAGAUGUUGCAUGACAUUUGCUUAAAAGGUGCAAUUGCAUCACUACCAGAUGGACCCGCGUUGUAUUAGCUAGUUGGUGAGGUAACGGCUCACCAAGGCAACGAUACAUAGCCGACCUGAGAGGGUGAUCGGCCACACUGGGACUGAGACACGGCCCAGACUCCUACGGGAGGCAGCAGUAGGGAAUCUUCGGCAAUGGACGGAAGUCUGACCGAGCAACGCCGCGUGAGUGAAGAAGGUUUUCGGAUCGUAAAGCUCUGUUGUAAGAGAAGAACGAGGGUGAGAGUGGAAAGUUCACACUGUGACGGUAUCUUACCAGAAAGGGACGGCUAACUACGUG
Molecule: ribosomal RNA, 496 nt
Filed under: uncultured bacterium
Lineage: Bacteria
Description: partial 16S ribosomal RNA
Rfam family: Bacterial small subunit ribosomal RNA
Source: RNAcentral